UACGUAGGGACCGAGCGUUGUCCGGAAUCAUUGGGCGUAAAGAGCGUGUAGGCGGCCACUUAAGUCCUGCGUGAAAUCUUGCGGCUCAACCGCAAGCGGUCGUGGGAAACUGGGUGGCUAGAGUGCGGGAGAGGAGAGUGGAAUUCCUGGUGUAGCGGUGGAAUGCGCAGAUAUCAGGAAGAACACCCGUGGCGAAGGCGGCUCUCUGGAACGCAACUGACGCUGAGGCACGAAAGCGUGGGGAGCAAACAGG
Molecule: ribosomal RNA, 253 nt
Filed under: uncultured bacterium
Lineage: Bacteria
Description: partial 16S ribosomal RNA
Rfam family: Bacterial small subunit ribosomal RNA
Source: RNAcentral